ACUUAAAUUGAAGAGUUUGAUCAUGGCUCAGAUUGAACGCUGGCGGCAGGCCUAACACAUGCAAGUCGAGCGGUAGCACAGAGAGCUUGCUCUCGGGUGACGAGCGGCGGACGGGGGAGUAAUGUCUGGGAAACUGCCUGAUGGAGGGGGAUAACUACUGGAAACGGUAGCUAAUACCGCAUAACGUCGCAAGACCAAAGUGGGGGACCUUCGGGCCUCAUGCCAUCAGAUGUGCCCAGAUGGGAUUAGCUAGUAGGUGGGGUAACGGCUCACCUAGGCGACGAUCCCUAGCUGGUCUGAGAGGAUGACCAGCCACACUGGAACUGAGACACGGUCCAGACUCCUACGGGAGGCAGCAGUGGGGAAUAUUGCACAAUGGGCGCAAGCCUGAUGCAGCCAUGCCGCGUGUGUGAAGAAGGCCUUCGGGUUGUAAAGCAC
Molecule: ribosomal RNA, 438 nt
Filed under: Klebsiella pneumoniae
Lineage: Bacteria; Pseudomonadati; Pseudomonadota; Gammaproteobacteria; Enterobacterales; Enterobacteriaceae
Description: bacterial SSU rRNA
Rfam family: Bacterial small subunit ribosomal RNA
Source: RNAcentral